AGAGUUUGAUCCUGGCUCAGGAUGAACGCUAGCUACAGGCUUAACACAUGCAAGUCGAGGGGCAGCAUGAAAGGAACUUCGGUUCUUUUUGAUGGCGACCGGCGCACGGGUGCGUAACGCGUAUCGAACCUGCCUCAUACUCGGGGAUAGCCUUGCGAAAGUAAGAUUAAUACCCGGCGGUCUCGGAUGGCCGCAUGACUGUCCGAGUGAAGAUUUAUCGGUAUGAGAUGGCGAUGCGUCCCAUUAGCUUGUUGGUGAGGUAACGGCUCACCAAGGCAUCGAUGGGUAGGGGUUCUGAGAGGAAGGUCCCCCACAUUGGAACUGAGACACGGUCCAAACUCCUACGGGAGGCAGCAGUGAGGAAUAUUGGUCAAUGGACGAAAGUCUGAACCAGCCAAGUAGCGUGCAGGAUGACGGCCCUCUGGGUUGUAAACUGCUUUUAGUUGGGAAUAAAAAGAGGGACGUGUCCCUUAUUGUAUGUACCAUCAGAAAAAGGACCGGCUAAUUCCGUGCCAGCAGCCGCGGUAAUACGGAAGGUCCAGGCGUUAUCCGGAUUUAUUGGGUUUAAAGGGAGCGCAGGCGGCGGCGUAAGUCAGUUGUGAAAUCGUGCGGCUUAACCGUGCAAUUGCAGUUGAUACUGCGUCGCUUGAGUGCACACAGGGAUGUUGGAAUUCAUGGUGUAGCGGUGAAAUGCUUAGAUAUCAUGAAGAACUCCGAUCGCGAAGGCAUAUGUCCGGAGUGCAACUGACGCUGAGGCUCGAAAGUGUGGGUAUCAAACAGGAUUAGAUACCCUGGUAGUCCACACAGUAAACGAUGAAUACUCGCGGUUGGUUUGUUAGAGUCAGCC
RNAcentral lists this ribosomal RNA (847 nucleotides) under human gut metagenome. RNAcentral's name for it is "bacterial SSU rRNA". It matches the Rfam family "Bacterial small subunit ribosomal RNA", at positions 8 to 845 of the family's 1533-position model. The record is from RNAcentral.